GGGCCGUUAGCUCAAUUGGUAGAGCAGCUGACUCUUAAUCAGGAGGUUGAAGGUUCGAUUCCUUCACGGCCCACCA
This 76-nucleotide transfer RNA is filed under the name Syntrophobacteraceae bacterium CG2_30_61_12. RNAcentral's name for it is "tRNA-Lys". It matches the Rfam family "tRNA". Rfam says of the family: Transfer RNA (tRNA) molecules are approximately 80 nucleotides in length. Their secondary structure includes four short double-helical elements and three loops (D, anti-codon, and T loops). Lineage: Bacteria; Pseudomonadati; Thermodesulfobacteriota; Syntrophobacteria; Syntrophobacterales; Syntrophobacteraceae. RNAcentral also lists the same sequence under 1 other name. The record is from RNAcentral.